Nymphalis io (European peacock) is the source of this 274-nucleotide long non-coding RNA. RefSeq lists it as uncharacterized. The transcript is spliced from 4 exons. Lineage: Eukaryota; Metazoa; Arthropoda; Insecta; Lepidoptera; Nymphalidae. The record is from RefSeq and is a predicted model, not a curated record.
CCAGUCUAAUAAUAGGUCACAAACGCGUAGACACUGGCACUGAAAACGUCGUAAGGAAACGUGCAUGUGUCUAAUUCCACUGAAAUUCUGCCACAUGUGUAUUCCAUCAACCCACAUUGGAGCAGCGUGGUGGAAUAAGCUCCAAAACCGUCUCCUCAAAAGAGGAGAGGAGGCCUUAGCCCAACAGUGGGACAUACACAGACUGUUACUGUAACGUUGCAGCCCCCAAUUUCCAUGGGAAUCAAGACAAACAGACAUGUUCAUGUCUGUCCUG